AGAGUUUGAUCCUGGCUCAGAACGAACGUUAGCGGCGCGCCUAAGACAUGCAAGUCGAGCGAGAAAGGGCUUCGGCCCCGGUAAAGCGGCGCACGGGUGAGUAACACGUGGGUAACCUGCCUCUAAGAUCGGGAUAACCCGUCGAAAGAUGGGCUAAUACCAAAUAAGACCACAGUUUCUUCGGGAACAAGGGUAAAAGGUAGCCUAUGCUUGCAAGCUAUCACUUAGAGAUGGGCCCGCGCACCAUUAGCUAGUUGGUGGGGUAACAGCCUACCAAGGCAAAGAUGUCUAGCGGGUGUGAGAGCACGACCCGCGCCACUCGCACUGAGACACUGGCGAGACACCUACGGGUGGCUGCAGUCGAGGAUCUUCGGCAAUGAGCGCAAGCUUGACCGAGCGACGCCGCGUGAGCGAUGAAGGCCUUCGGGUUGUAAAGCUCUUUAGUGGGGGAGAAAAGCCCGCAAGGGUGUGAUCUAUCCCAAAAAUAAGCACGGGCUAAGUUCGUGCCAGCAGCCGCGGUAAGACGAACCGUGCGAACGUUGUUCGGAAUCACUGGGCUUAAAGGGCGCGUAGGCGGGCUGUCAAGUCUGGGGUGAAAUGCCACGGCUCAACCGUGGAACUGCCUCAGAUACCGACGGCCUCGAGGGAGGUAGGGGCGUGCGGAACUGUAGGUGGAGCGGUGAAAUGCGUUGAUAUCUACAGGAACUCCGGUGGCGAAAGCGGCGCGCUGGACCUCUUCUGACGCUGAGGCGCGAAAGCUAGGGGAGCAAACGGGAUUAGAUACCCCUGUAGUCC
RNAcentral lists this ribosomal RNA (795 nucleotides) under uncultured Gemmata sp. RNAcentral's name for it is "bacterial SSU rRNA". It matches the Rfam family "Bacterial small subunit ribosomal RNA", at positions 8 to 796 of the family's 1533-position model. The record is from RNAcentral. Lineage: Bacteria; Pseudomonadati; Planctomycetota; Planctomycetia; Gemmatales; Gemmataceae.